This 356-nucleotide ribosomal RNA is filed under the name uncultured soil bacterium. RNAcentral's name for it is "bacterial SSU rRNA". It matches the Rfam family "Bacterial small subunit ribosomal RNA", at positions 26 to 369 of the family's 1533-position model. The record is from RNAcentral.
AGGACGAACGCUGGCGGCGUGCUUAACACAUGCAAGUCGAGCGGAGAGGCCUUUCGGGGUACUCGAGCGGCGAACGGGUGAGUAACACGUGAGUAAUCUGCCCAUCGCUUCAGGAUAGCCAUCGGAAACGGUGAUUAAUACUGGAUAUGACAUUCCUUCGCAUGUUGGGGUGUGGUAAAGUUUUUUCGGCGGUGGAUGUGCUCGCGGCCUAUCAGCUUGGUUGGUGGGGUAAUCGGCCUAACCGAAGGUCUUUGGACGGGUAGCCGGCCUGGAGAGGGUGACCCGGCCGACCGGCCGGGACUGAGACCGACGGCCCAGACCUCCGUACGGGAGCAGCGAGGUCGGGAAUAGUGGAC